GGGGCUGUGGCUCAGUGGUCGAGCACUUGCCUAGCACAUGCAAGGACCUGUGUUCCAUCCUCAGCACCACA
This 71-nucleotide transfer RNA is filed under the name Marmota monax (woodchuck). RNAcentral's name for it is "tRNA.Ala". The record is from RNAcentral. Lineage: Eukaryota; Metazoa; Chordata; Mammalia; Rodentia; Sciuridae.